UACGGAGGGUGCGAGCGUUAUCCGGAAUUACUGGGUUUAAAGGGUGCGUAGGCGGCUAAGUAAGUCAGGAGUGAAAGUUUGCGGCUCAACCGUAAAAUUGCUUUUGAUACUGCAUAGCUAGAAUUAGGAUGAGGUCAGCGGAAUGUGGCAUGUAGCGGUGAAAUGCAUAGAUAUGCCAUAGAACACCAAUUGCGAAGGCAGCUGGCUAGACCUGGAUUGACGCUGGGGCACGAAAGCGUGGGGAGCGAACAGG
RNAcentral lists this ribosomal RNA (253 nucleotides) under uncultured bacterium. RNAcentral's name for it is "partial 16S ribosomal RNA". It matches the Rfam family "Bacterial small subunit ribosomal RNA", at positions 524 to 776 of the family's 1533-position model. The record is from RNAcentral.